RNAcentral lists this ribosomal RNA (711 nucleotides) under uncultured bacterium. Its description in RNAcentral is "bacterial SSU rRNA". It matches the Rfam family "Bacterial small subunit ribosomal RNA", at positions 777 to 1500 of the family's 1533-position model. The record is from RNAcentral.
AUUAGAUACCCUGGUAGUCCGCACGGUAAACGAUGGAUGCCCGCCGUUGGGUAUUUUUAUUCAGUGGCCAAGCGAAAGCGUUAAGCAUCCCACCUGGGGAGUACGCCGGCAACGGUGAAACUCAAAGGAAUUGACGGGGGCCCGCACAAGCGGAGGAACAUAUGGUUUAAUUCGAUGAUACGCGAGGAACCUUACCCGGGCUUGAAUUGCAGAUGACGGAUCCAGAGAUGGUGACUUCCUUCGGGACAUCUGUGAAGGUGCUGCAUGGUUGUCGUCAGCUCGUGCCGUGAGGUGUCGGCUUAAGUGCCAUAACGAGCGCAACCCCUUUCGUCAGUUGCCAUCGGGUAAUGCCGGGCACUCUGGCGACACUGCCGCCGCAAGGUGUGAGGAAGGUGGGGAUGACGUCAAAUCAGCACGGCCCUUACGUCCGGGGCUACACACGUGUUACAAUGGGGCAUACAGAGAGUUGGUCAUGCGCAAGCAUGAUCGGAUCAUGAAAGUGUCCCUCAGUUCGGACUGGGGUCUGCAACCCGACCCCACGAAGCUGGAUUCGCUAGUAAUCGCGCAUCAGCCAUGGCGCGGUGAAUACGUUCCCGGGCCUUGUACACACCGCCCGUCAAGCCAUGAAAGCCGGGGGCGCCUGAAGUCCGUGACCGCGAGGGUCGGCCUAGGGUGAAACCGGUGAUUGGGGCUAAGUCGUAACAAGGUACC